AUAGGGGAGCCGGAGGGAAACCGAGUCUUAAUUGGGCGUUAAGUUGCAGGGUAUAGACCCGAAACCCGGUGAUCUAGCCAUGGGCAGGUUGAAGGUUGGGUAACACUAACUGGAGGACCGAACCGACUAAUGUUGAAAAAUUAGCGGAUGACCUGUGGCUGGGGGUGAAAGGCCAAUCAAACCGGGAGAUAGCUGGUUCUCCCCGAAAGCUAUUUAGGUAGCGCCUCGUGAAUUCAUCUCCGGGGGUAGAGCACUGUUUCGGCUAGGGGGCCAUCCCGGCUUACCAACCCGAUGCAAACUGCGAAUACCGGAGAAUGUUAUCACGGGAGACACACGGCGGGUGCUAACGUCCGUCGUGAAGAGGGAAACAACCCAGACCGCCAGCUAAGGUCCCAAAGUCAUGGUUAAGUGGGAAACGAUGUGGGAAGGCCCAGACAGCCAGGAUGUUGGCUUAGAAGCAGCCAUCAUUUAAAGAAAGCGUAAUAGCUCACUGGUCGAGUCGGCCUGCGCGGAAGAUGUAACGGGGCUAAACCAUGCACCGAAGCUGCGGCAGCGAACGUAUCACCCAAGACAACUUUACGGAGUUGACGAUUGACGGAGCGAAGCGACGUCAAAGCGUUCAUUAAAGUCGAGUUGGCUUAGGGAUACGUUCGUUGGGUAGGGGAGCGUUCUGUAAGCCUGUGAAGGUGUGUCGUGAGGCAUGCUGGAGGUAUCAGAAGUGCGAAUGCUGACAUAAGUAACGAUAAAGCGGGUGAAAAGCCCGCUCGCCGGAAGACCAAGGGUUCCUGUCCAACGUUAAUCGGGGCAGGGUGAGUCGACCCCUAAGGCGAGGCCGAAAGGCGUAGUCGAUGGGAAACGGGUUAAUAUUCCCGUACUUGGUGUUACUGCGAAGGGGGGACGGAGAAGGCUAUGUUGGCCGGGCGACGGUUGUCCCGGUUUAAGCGUGUAGGUGUGUGUUCCAGGUAAAUCCGGUUCACUUUAACACUGAGGCGUGACGACGAGGCACUACGGUGCUGAAGCAACAAAUGCCCUGCUUCCAGGAAAAGCCUCUAAGCAUCAGGUAACAUCAAAUCGUACCCCAAACCGACACAGGUGGUCAGGUAGAGAAUACCAAGGCGCUUGAGAGAACUCGGGUGAAGGAACUAGGCAAAAUGGUGCCGUAACUUCGGGAGAAGGCACGCUGACACGUAGGUGAAGUGAUUUACUCAUGGAGCUGAAGUCAGUCGAAGAUACCAGCUGGCUGCAACUGUUUAUUAAAAACACAGCACUGUGCAAACACGAAAGUGGACGUAUACGGUGUGACGCCUGCCCGGUGCCGGAAGGUUAAUUGAUGGGGUCAGCGCAAGCGAAGCUCCUGAUCGAAGCCCCGGUAAACGGCGGCCGUAACUAUAACGGUCCUAAGGUAGCGAAAUUCCUUGUCGGGUAAGUUCCGACCUGCACGAAUGGCGUAAUGAUGGCCAGGCUGUCUCCACCCGAGACUCAGUGAAAUUGAACUCGCUGUGAAGAUGCAGUGUACCCGCGGCAAGACGGAAAGACCCCGUGAACCUUUACUAUAGCUUGACACUGAACAUUGAGCCUUGAUGUGUAGGAUAGGUGGGAGGCUUUGAAGUGUGGACGCCAGUCUGCAUGGAGCCGACCUUGAAAUACCACCCUUUAAUGUUUGAUGUUCUAACGUGGACCCGUAAUCCGGGUUGCGGACAGUGUCUGGUGGGUAGUUUGACUGGGGCGGUCUCCUCCUAAAGAGUAACGGAGGAGCACGAAGGUUGGCUAAUCCUGGUCGGACAUCAGGAGGUUAGUGCAAUGGCAUAAGCCAGCUUGACUGCGAGCGUGACGGCGCGAGCAGGUGCGAAAGCAGGUCAUAGUGAUCCGGUGGUUCUGAAUGGAAGGGCCAUCGCUCAACGGAUAAAAGGUACUCCGGGGAUAACAGGCUGAUACCGCCCAAGAGUUCAUAUCGACGGCGGUGUUUGGCACCUCGAUGUCGGCUCAUCACAUCCUGGGGCUGAAGUAGGUCCCAAGGGUAUGGCUGUUCGCCAUUUAAAGUGGUACGCGAGCUGGGUUUAGAACGUCGUGAGACAGUUCGGUCCCUAUCUGCCGUGGGCGCUGGAGAACUGAGGGGGGCUGCUCCUAGUACGAGAGGACCGGAGUGGACGCAUCACUGGUGUUCGGGUUGUCAUGCCAAUGGCACUGCCCGGUAGCUAAAUGCGGAAGAGAUAAGUGCUGAAAGCAUCUAAGCACGAAACUUGCCCCGAGAUGAGUUCUCCCUGAGACUUAGAGUCUCCUGAAGGAACGUUGAAGACGACGACGUUGAUAGGCCGGGUGUGUAAGCGCAGCGAUGCGUUGAG
Molecule: ribosomal RNA, 2342 nt
Filed under: Salmonella enterica
Lineage: Bacteria; Pseudomonadati; Pseudomonadota; Gammaproteobacteria; Enterobacterales; Enterobacteriaceae
Description: bacterial LSU rRNA
Rfam family: Bacterial large subunit ribosomal RNA
Source: RNAcentral